AAUCUGGUUGAUCCUGCCAGUAGUCAUAUGCUUGUCUCCAAAGAUUAAGCCAUGCAUGUCUAAGUACAAACCUUAAUACGGUGAAACCGCGAAUGGCUCAUUAUAAAUCAGCUAUGGUUCCUUUUAGAUCGUCUCAUCCUUACUGGAUAAACUGUGGAAAAUCUAGAGCUAAUACGUGUUACAAGCCCUGACCUCACGGAGGGGGCGGCAUUUAUUAGAUCAAAACCAAUCGGGGCGUUGCCCGUCUGCUUGGUGACUCUGGAUAACUUUUGUGCUGAUCGCAUAGGCCUCUGCGCCUGGCGAGACGUAUUCUUUCAAGCGGUCUGCCCUAUCAACUUACGAUGGUAGGUGAUAUAUGCUACCAUGGUUAUAACGGUAACGGGGAAUCAGGGUUCGAUUCCGGAGAGGGGGAGCCUGAGAAACGCUACCACAUCUAAGGAAGGCAGCAGUGCGCGCAAAUUACCACUUCCGGCACGGGGAGGUAGUGACGAAAAUAACGAAUACGGGACUCUUUUUGUGAGCCCCGUAAUUGGAAUGGAGUACACUUUAAAUCCGUUAACAAGUAUCUAUUGGAGGGCAAGUCUGGUGCCAGCAGCCGCGGUAAUUCCAGCUCCAAUAGCGUAUAUUAAUGUUGCUGCAGUUAAAAAGCUCGUAGUUGGAUCUGAGGACUCGAAUUGGUGGUGCACCAUACGGUGUUACUGCCGAUUUCGGGCUACCUUAGUCGGUGCUCGCUCUGGUGUUCUUAAUUGAAUGCCCUGAGUGCCCGGCAAGUUUUACUUUUGGAAAAAUUAGAGUGCUCAAAGCAGGCAUUAGCCGGAAUACUUGCAGCAUGGAAAUAAUGGAAUAGACUUUCGGUUCUAUUUUGUUGGUUUUUUCGGAACCCGAGGUAAUGAUUAAGAGAGACAGACGGGGGCAUUCGUACUGCGGUGUUAGAGGUGAAAUUCUUGGAUCGCCGCAAGACGAACAACUGCGCGAAAGCAUUUGCCAAGAAAUGUUUUCAUUAAUCAAAACGAAAGUCAGAGGUUCGAAGACGAAUCAGAUACCGUCCUAGUUCUGACCAUAAACGAUGCCAACUGGCGGAUCCGAGAUCGUUUGUUUACCUAUUACGACUCUCGGGCAGCCUCCGGGAAACCAAAGUUUUUAGGUUCCGGGGGAAGUAUUCAGUUGCAAAAGCUGGAACUUUAAAGGAAUUGACGGAAGGGCACCACCAGGAGUGGAGCCUGCGGUUAAUUUGACUCAACACGGAAACUCCACCCGGCCCGGACACUGUUAGGAUUGACAGAUUAGAGCUCUUUCUUUGAUUCGGUGGAGUGGUGGUGCGAUGGCGUUCUUUACGUUGGUGGAGCGCAUUUGUCUGACCGUUAAUUUUUUUUUUUUUUUUUCCCGAUAACGAACGAGACUCUAGCCUGCUAAAUAGUACGCGAUACCUUUUCGUCGGUGCUGACUUCUUAGAGGACAAGCGUCUUGAAGACGCACGAGAUUGAGCAAUAACAGGUCUGUGAUGCCCUUAGAUGUUCGGGGCCGCACGCGCCGCUACACUGAAGGGGACAGCGAGUUUUUCCUGGUUCGAAAGAACCGGGUAAUCUGUGUGAAUUCCCUUCGUGACAGGGAUCGGGGCUUGCAAUUAUUCCCCGUGAACGAGGAAUUCCCAGUAAGCGCAAGUCAUCAGCUUGCGUUGAUUACGUCCCUGCCCUUUGUACACACACGCCCGUCGCUACUACCGAUUGAAUGGUUUAGCAAGGUCCUCGGAUUGGUGCCGACUUUGGUGGCAAACACUAGUCGGAUACUGAAAAAGAAGAUCAAAUUGAUCAAUUUAGAGGAAGUAAAAGUCGUAACAAGGUUUCCGUAUGGUGAACCUGCGGAAGGAUCAUUA
Molecule: non-coding RNA, 1873 nt
Organism: Macrostomum lignano
Lineage: Eukaryota; Metazoa; Platyhelminthes; Macrostomidae
Source: Rfam